ACAACGGUGGGAGCGGCAAUAUCGACGAGUUCAACUGCUGCAAGGUGUACAGCGGAAGGUAAGGGAGAGUGUGAUCUAUGGAGACAGAGAAGAGGACCAAAAAAAAAGAAGUAGGAGGCCAAUGAGUAGGCAGCGAAGGAUCCUUGAAGGUAUGGGAGAGAAAAUGAUGUGGCGGUGAUGACAGAGGAGAGAGGGAUCGCCCUAUUGUACGAAAAAAUAGAGAAGGGAAACAACCGAUUUAGUUUAAAGGGAAAGGAAGAUGGAUGAUUCGGUUUGGAGAAGGUAAGAGUGGUUCAGAGAAGUAGGACGGAUCGGUUAAGAAAAGAAAAAGGUAAAGGAGGGGAUAGGAACGGUUCAAUUCAGAAAGAUGGUUCGGUUCAGAGGAGGGAGAGAUGAAAGUGAAGGAGAGACCGUCACAUGGCAAAAUUAUUGAUAUAAAUUAAUAGAUAAUAGAUUAGUUUUUGUAGAAAAGAAAACAAAAAAGGAGAUAGAAGGCGUGAAUUCUU
RNAcentral lists this long non-coding RNA (506 nucleotides) under Ananas comosus (pineapple). RNAcentral describes it as "long non-coding RNA (ACOM_LNC021133)". The record is from RNAcentral. Lineage: Eukaryota; Viridiplantae; Streptophyta; Magnoliopsida; Poales; Bromeliaceae.